CCCGCACAAGCGGUGGAGCACGUGGUUUAAUUCGAUGCAAACCGAAGAACCUUACCUGGGUUUUGACAUGCAGGUGGUAGCGAAGAGAGAUCUGAGCGACCUUGCAGUAAUGUAGGGAGCCUGCACAGGUGCUGCAUGGCUGUCGUCAGCUCGUGUCGUGAGAUGUUGGGUUAAGUCCCGCAACGAGCGCAACCCUUGCCUUUAGUUGCCAGCAGUUCGGCUGGGCACUCUAAAGGGACUGCCGGUGUUAAACCGGAGGAAGGUGGGGAUGACGUCAAGUCCUCAUGGCCUUUAUGACCAGGGCUACACACGUACUACAAUGGCCGAUACAAAGGGCAGCGACACUGCGAGGUGAAGCCAAUCCCGUAAAAUCGGUCUCAGUCCGGAUUGGAGUCUGCAACUCGACUCCAUGAAGUUGGAAUCGCUAGUAAUCGUGGAUCAGCAUGCCACGGUGAAUACGUUCCCGGGCCUU
This 472-nucleotide ribosomal RNA is filed under the name uncultured Desulfobulbus sp. RNAcentral describes it as "bacterial SSU rRNA". It matches the Rfam family "Bacterial small subunit ribosomal RNA", at positions 920 to 1382 of the family's 1533-position model. The record is from RNAcentral. Lineage: Bacteria; Pseudomonadati; Thermodesulfobacteriota; Desulfobulbia; Desulfobulbales; Desulfobulbaceae.